AGUGAACGCUGGCGGUAGGCCUAACACAUGCAAGUCGAACGGCAGCACAUUAAGCGCUUGCUCUUACGGGUGGCGAGUGGCGGACGGGUGAGGCAUACAUCGGAAUCUACUUUUUCGUGGGGGAUAACGUAGGGCAACUUACGCUACUACCUCAUACGACUUACGGGUGAAAGCAGGGGUUCUUCGGACCUUUCGCUCUUUCAUGAGCCGAUGUCGGAUUUGUUAGUUGGCGGGUUAAAGGCCCGCCAAGGCGACGAUCAGUAGCUGGCCUGAGAGGAGGGCCAGCAACAUUGGAACGGGGAAACGGUCAAGAUCCCUAGGGGAGGAGGAAGAGGGGAAUAUUGGAAAAGGGGGGAAAGCCGGAUCCAGACAGACGGCGUGGGUGAAGAAGGCCUUCGGGUGGUAAAGCCCGUUUGUUGGGAAAGAAAAGCAGCAGGGUAAUACCCCGAUGUACUGACGGUACCCAAAGAAUAAGCACCGGCUAACUUCGUG
This 492-nucleotide ribosomal RNA is filed under the name uncultured bacterium. Its description in RNAcentral is "partial 16S ribosomal RNA". It matches the Rfam family "Bacterial small subunit ribosomal RNA", at positions 29 to 507 of the family's 1533-position model. The record is from RNAcentral.